UAUCCCUUCGUGGGGAGUAGUGUCCCAUCCUAGAGCCUUCAUCCAGUAGCUGAUGGAAAGAGAAGCAGAGAUCCACAGCCAAGCACUGAGCCAAACUCCUGACAUCAUACAAUACUUAUACAAGGCACUACAGCCUUGAUUCCAGGAAACCAAUUCACAAAGUAGACUGUCUUAACUCAGUUAAGAGAAUCAUGAAAAUACCCUAGACGCAUGCCUAAAGGUCCACGUCCCAGAGUAAGUCUGUGACAUCCACUCCACUUGGUAAUUUGAGCUGAAUAGCCCUGGACCCUCAAAAGGAUGACAACCAAUAAGGCCUAUCACUGAAUCCUACUGACUACAUAGAAGAACAUUUUUGAUGAUUACUUUAUAUGCCAUCCUAGAGUCUUCAUCUAGUAGCUAAUGGAAGCAGAAGCAAACACCCACAGCUAAACACUGAGCUGAACUCCUGGAAUCUAUUUGCAGAGAGGGAGGAGUGAUGAGGAAAGGGGUCAAGACCAGACUGGAGAAACCCAGAGAAACAGCUGACCUGAACAAGGGGGAGCUCAUGGACCCCAGACUGAUAGCUGGGGAAGCAGAAUAGGAUUGAUACAGAGCCCCUGAACCUGGGUGUCAGUGAGGAGGCUUGGCAAUCAAUGGGGCCUCUGGUAGUAGGUCGGUAUAUAUCCUUUAUUUAUUAAUGGACUUUGGGAACCAAUUCCACAUAGAGGGAUACUCUCUUAGCCUAGACCCAUGGUGGAGGGCCUAGG
Cricetulus griseus (Chinese hamster) is the source of this 746-nucleotide non-coding RNA. The record is from RefSeq and is a predicted model, not a curated record. Lineage: Eukaryota; Metazoa; Chordata; Mammalia; Rodentia; Cricetidae.